This 720-nucleotide long non-coding RNA is filed under the name Anas platyrhynchos platyrhynchos (common mallard). RNAcentral's name for it is "lncRNA (ENSAPLG00000016456.1)". Lineage: Eukaryota; Metazoa; Chordata; Aves; Anseriformes; Anatidae. The record is from RNAcentral.
UCACUCCAAAACAAUCUAUCAAGCAAGCAAGCAAGCAAACAAAAGCAAGUGGGCAAGGGCAAAGAGACUUCAGCCUUGGAUAAUUAAUCAAUUUGGUAGGUUGACUGCUUUAGAUACAAGAUGGUACCACAGGGUACUCCAGAAGGUUCUUCAGAGAGGAAGUAAAGAUUGAUUCUACCUCCUCCUUUUCCCCUGCCCCAUCAUACAGAAGUGUCCUUCUUGAACAUAGACUAGCACAUGUCAGUAAAGGGGGCUACAGACAAAAGACACCUACUUUCCUAACCUGGGCUCCAAAAGUGGAAAGAAAAUUUCAUGUAAAUGGUGGGAAGACAGCAAGCAGAAGGGGACAGCCUACUCAUUUAACUCCUAGCACCAGGCUUUGUCCUGGACCCCAGCAUUUCUGAGUUUUGCUGUGCCUGCAUUGUCACCAGAGAUCUGUGAAGUAAACACUGGUGUGGAGAGUGUGUCAUCUUUUAGCUAAUGCUGACCUAGAAAAGAGAGCGGCCUAUUUAUGACGGUAUUUCUCAGAGUAAUAGAAUAACCGGUGCCUGUGCCUAAGAUAUAAGAAUUUGAAACAUUUACAUGUAUCAAAUGUAAUGCUGAAGUAUACAAUUAUAAUAGCAGCCUGUAUGGAAAAGGGCUGGAAAAAAAAAAAAAAAGGUUUUAAGGAGAAAUGAACAGUCAAAUAAAAGCAAAUAUAAAGAAGAAAAUUAUUUGAAA